This 129-nucleotide small RNA is filed under the name Brugia malayi. RNAcentral's name for it is "RNA transcript Bm16739". The record is from RNAcentral. Lineage: Eukaryota; Metazoa; Nematoda; Chromadorea; Rhabditida; Onchocercidae.
GGUGGCGGUACACGCCUGUAAUCCCAGCACCUGGGAAGCAGAGGAAGGCAGAUCUCUGAGUUUGAGGCCAGCCUGGUCUACAGAGUGAGUUCCAGGACAGCCAGGGCUACACAGAGAAACCCUGUCUCA